CCGUACCGCAAACCGACACAGGUAGUCAAGAUGAGAAUUCUAAGGUGAGCGAGCGAACUCUCGUUAAGGAACUCGGCAAAAUGACCCCGUAACUUCGGGAGAAGGGGUGCUCUUUAGGGUUAACGCCCAGAAGAGCCGCAGUGAAUAGGCCCAAGCGACUGUUUAUCAAAAACACAGGUCUCUGCUAAACCGUAAGGUGAUGUAUAGGGGCUGACGCCUGCCCGGUGCUGGAAGGUUAAGAGGAGUGGUUAGCUUCUGCGAAGCUACGAAUCGAAGCCCCAGUAAACGGCGGCCGUAACUAUAACGGUCCUAAGGUAGCGAAAUUCCUUGUCGGGUAAGUUCCGACCCGCACGAAAGGCGUAACGAUUUGGGCACUGUCUCAACGAGAGACUCGGUGAAAUCAUAGUACCUGUGAAGAUGCAGGUUACCCGCGACAGGACGGAAAGACCCCGUGGAGCUUUACUGUAGCCUGAUAUUGAAAUUCGGCACAGCUUGUACAGGAUAGGUAGGAGCCUUUGAAACGUGAGCGCUAGCUUACGUGGAGGCGCUGGUGGGAUACUACCCUAGCUGUGUUGGCUUUCUAACCCGCACCACUUAUCGUGGUGGGAGACAGUGUCAGGCGGGCAGUUUGACUGGGGCGGUCGCCUCCUAAAAGGUAACGGAGGCGCUCAAAGGUUCCCUCAGAAUGGUUGGAAAUCAUUCAUAGAGUGUAAAGGCAUAAGGGAGCUUGACUGCGAGACCUACAAGUCGAGCAGGGUCGAAAGACGGACUUAGUGAUCCGGUGGUUCCGCAUGGAAGGGCCAUCGCUCAACGGAUAAA
RNAcentral lists this ribosomal RNA (819 nucleotides) under Staphylococcus aureus. Its description in RNAcentral is "partial 23S ribosomal RNA". It matches the Rfam family "Bacterial large subunit ribosomal RNA", at positions 1642 to 2460 of the family's 2925-position model. Lineage: Bacteria; Bacillati; Bacillota; Bacilli; Caryophanales; Staphylococcaceae. The record is from RNAcentral.